GUUUUCCUUCGCUACAGACAUAGCGCGCGGCGUGGCAUACCUCCACCAACACAAGAUCUGUCACGGCCGACUGAAGUCUGUAAACUGCGUGAUCGACGACCGCUGGGUCUGCAAAAUCACAGAUUUCGGGUUGAGGAUGUAUCGCAGGCACGAGGGGGCGGAGCCUCUUUCGUCCUAUCAGCAGAGACUUCAGGAGGUCUACAUGCCGCCCGAGUUUCAUAACUCCAGCAUGGAGCCCACGCUCGCUGCAGACGUGUUCAGUUACUCCAUCGUUCUGCUGGAGAUCGCCACUCGCAGCGACCCGGUUCCAGU
Notothenia coriiceps (black rockcod) is the source of this 312-nucleotide long non-coding RNA. RefSeq lists it as uncharacterized. The transcript has 3 exons. NCBI's taxonomy places the organism in Eukaryota, Metazoa, Chordata, Actinopteri, Perciformes, Nototheniidae. The record is from RefSeq and is a predicted model, not a curated record.